This 429-nucleotide ribosomal RNA is filed under the name Chloroflexota bacterium. Its description in RNAcentral is "Chloroflexi bacterium partial 16S ribosomal RNA". It matches the Rfam family "Bacterial small subunit ribosomal RNA", at positions 355 to 776 of the family's 1533-position model. The record is from RNAcentral. Lineage: Bacteria; Bacillati; Chloroflexota.
UGGGGAAUAUUGCACAAUGGGCGCAAGCCUGAUGCAGCCAUGCCGCGUGUAUGAAGAAGGCCUUCGGGUUGUAAAGUACUUUCAGUCGGGAGGAAGGUGGUAAGGUUAAUAACCUUAUCAAUUGACGUUACCGACAGAAGAAGCACCGGCUAACUCCGUGCCAGCAGCCGCGGUAAUACGGAGGGUGCAAGCGUUAAUCGGAAUUACUGGGCGUAAAGCGCACGCAGGCGGUCUGUCAAGUCGGAUGUGAAAUCCCCGGGCUCAACCUGGGAACUGCAUUCGAAACUGGCAGGCUAGAGUCUUGUAGAGGGGGGUAGAAUUCCAGGUGUAGCGGUGAAAUGCGUAGAGAUCUGGAGGAAUACCGGUGGCGAACGCGGCCCCCUGGACAAAGACUGACGCUCAGGUGCGAAAGCGUGGGGAGCAAACAGG